RNAcentral lists this unclassified non-coding RNA (238 nucleotides) under Basidiomycota sp. RNAcentral's name for it is "partial contains small subunit ribosomal RNA and internal transcribed spacer 1". The stretch from base 1 to 47 matches the Rfam family "Eukaryotic small subunit ribosomal RNA", at positions 1785 to 1831 of the family's 1831-position model. The record is from RNAcentral. Lineage: Eukaryota; Fungi; Basidiomycota.
AAAGUCGUAACAAGGUUUCCGUAGGUGAACCUGCGGAAGGAUCAUUAUUGGUUAUCCUUUUUUCAUUUUCAACACACCGAACCGUGAAUGUGCGUGCGUGUGCGCGCGCCUGGAAUUUCCACGCGCGCAUCCACGCGCCAUUACACAAUUAUCCACUACUUUACACACAAUCACACACACACACACACAAUUAUAAUCAAAAUCCAUACAACUUCCAACGACGGAUCUCUUGGCUCCU